ACCUGAAAUCAAGCAAGAUCACCCGCUGAACUUAAGCAUAUCAGUAAGCGGAGGAAAAGAAACUAACAAGGAUUGCCUUAGUAGUGGCGAAUGAACCGGCAAUAGCUCAAAGUGUAAAUCUGAGGCAUCAAGUCUUAGAAUUGUAAUCUAUAGGCCUUUUAGGGAAGCCAUGGUUCUAGCAUAAGUUCCCUGAAAAGGGAUGCCAAAGAGGGUAAAAGCCCCGUAUUUGGUUAGGACUGGGUGUACCGAAGGGUUCCAAGAGUCGGGUUGUUUGGGAUUGCAGCCUAAAAUGGGAGAUAAACUUCUUCUAAAGCUAAAUAUUUAUGGGAAACCGAUAGCAAACAAGUACUACGAAGGAAAGAUGAAAAGAACUUUGAAAAGAGGGUUAAAAGACUUGAAAUCGUUGAGGAGAAAAGCGGUAGAAGAGAAAUGAUUUCAUUUAGAAGUAUGUAGUUUUGUAGGCGUCUUCUGCGGUAAUGGUACUUCAUAGGGCCUAGCUGUAGACCGGUGUCGCAUUGCUGCUUUUUCUGGAUGAAGUGCAAAAUGAGGUCUCGCUUGCGGAAACGUCUCUAGGGAGGACUCUGGCCUCGACGCUAGAAGCCCUGGUCUCCAA
Molecule: ribosomal RNA, 613 nt
Filed under: Paramecium primaurelia
Lineage: Eukaryota; Ciliophora; Oligohymenophorea; Peniculida; Parameciidae
Description: eukaryotic LSU rRNA
Rfam family: Eukaryotic large subunit ribosomal RNA
Source: RNAcentral